RNAcentral lists this ribosomal RNA (375 nucleotides) under uncultured organism. RNAcentral's name for it is "partial 16S ribosomal RNA". It matches the Rfam family "Bacterial small subunit ribosomal RNA", at positions 527 to 896 of the family's 1533-position model. The record is from RNAcentral.
GUAGGUGGCAAGCGUUGUCCGGAAUUAUUGGGGCGUAAAGCGCGCGCAGGGCGGGUCCUUUAAGUCUGAUGUGAAAAGCCCACGGCUCAACCGUGGAGGGUCAUUGGAAACUGGGGGACUUGAGUACAGAAGAGGAAAGCGGAAUUCCAAGUGUAGCGGUGAAAUGCGUAGAGAUUUGGAGGAACACCAGUGGCGAAGGCGGCUUUCUGGUCUGUAACUGACGCUGAGGCGCGAAAGCGUGGGGAGCAAACAGGAUUAGAUACCCUGGUAGUCCACGCCGUAAACGAUGAGUGCUAAGUGUUAGGGGGUUUCCGCCCCUUAGUGCUGCAGCUAACGCAUUAAGCACUCCGCCUGGGGAGUACGGCCGCAAGGCUG